CGCUCUGCGACCACCACAGUGAACAUGGCCACAGGAGUGCAAGUUGCUGAUGAAGUAUGCCACAUUUUUAUGACACUAAAGUUUGGAAGUGCUCCACACCAGAAGAAAUCAAGAAAAGAAAGAAGGCUGUCAUUUUUUGUCUCAGUGUAGACAAAAAGCGCCUCAUUGUAGAAGGCAGCAAAGAGAUUUUGGUGUAACCAUAACUGAUCCUUUCAAGCAUUUUGUGGAAAUGCUUCCUGAAAAAGAUUGUUGCUAUAUACUUUGUAUGAUGCAAGCUUCGAAACAAAGGAAUCCAGAAAAGAGGAGUUGAUGCUUUUUUUGUGGGCACCAGAACUAGAACCUCUGAAACGUAAAAUGAUCUAUGCAAGCUCCAAGGAUACAAUCAAAAAGAAAUUUCAAGGCAUAAAACACGAAUGUCAGGCAAAUGGGCCAGAAGACCUCAGCCGGACCUGUACUGCUGAAAAGCUAGGUGGAUCCUUAAUCGUAGCUUUUGAAGGAUGCCCUGUAUAGAUCACUGUUUGGUGUCACAAAUUGAAAGCUUCCAUGUUUAAUGUUACCCUCUUGCUAUAUAAGUAAAGCAAAUACAUUUAGGCCAGGGACUCACUGAGGGGGAGCUGUCUCAUCAUUUGUUAGGGUAAACUAACUAUUCUAUGAACAUGUGCAAAUGGCCCUAAAUAAAUCUAAACUCUAAAGUUUU
This is an RNA transcript of Lipotes vexillifer (Yangtze River dolphin), 697 nucleotides long. It is a transcript of the gene named destrin-like, with no coding region annotated. NCBI's taxonomy places the organism in Eukaryota, Metazoa, Chordata, Mammalia, Artiodactyla, Lipotidae. The transcript is spliced from 2 exons. The record is from RefSeq and is a predicted model, not a curated record.